Molecule: small nuclear RNA, 107 nt
Organism: Echinops telfairi (small Madagascar hedgehog)
Lineage: Eukaryota; Metazoa; Chordata; Mammalia; Afrosoricida; Tenrecidae
Source: Ensembl
GUGCUUGCUGCAGCGGCACAUAUACUAAAAUUGAAAGGAUAUAGGGAAGAUUAGCAUGGCCCCAGUGCAAGGAUGAUAUGCAAAUUUGUGAAGUGUUCCCUAAUUUU